GCUAACCUAGCUCAGUUGGUAAAGCAUCAGCCUGCAAUGCAGGAGACCAUGGUUCAAUACCUGGGUUGGGA
This 71-nucleotide transfer RNA is filed under the name Ovis aries (sheep). It matches the Rfam family "tRNA". Rfam says of the family: Transfer RNA (tRNA) molecules are approximately 80 nucleotides in length. Their secondary structure includes four short double-helical elements and three loops (D, anti-codon, and T loops). Further hydrogen bonds mediate the characteristic L-shaped molecular structure. tRNAs have two regions of fundamental functional importance: the anti-codon, which is responsible for specific mRNA codon recognition, and the 3' end, to which the tRNAs corresponding amino acid is attached (by aminoacyl-tRNA synthetases). tRNAs cope with the degeneracy of the genetic code in two manners: having more than one tRNA (with a specific anti-codon) for a particular amino acid; and 'wobble' base-pairing, i.e. permitting non-standard base-pairing at the 3rd anti-codon position. The record is from Rfam by way of RNAcentral. Lineage: Eukaryota; Metazoa; Chordata; Mammalia; Artiodactyla; Bovidae.